AGUGAACGCCGGCGGUAGGCCUAACACAUGCAAGUCGAACGGCAGCACAGUAAGAGCUUGCUCUUACGGGUGGCGAGUGGCGGACGGGUGAGGAAUACAUCGGAAUCUACUUUUUCGUGGGGGAUAACGUAGGGAAACUUACGCUAAUACCGCAUACGACCUACGGGUGAAAGCAGGGGAUCUUCGGACCUUGCGCGAUUGAAUGAGCCGAUGUCGGAUUAGCUAGUUGGCGGGGUAAAGGCCCACCAAGGUGACGAUCCGUAGCUGGUCUGAGAGGAUGAUCAGCCACACUGGAACUGAGACACGGUCCAGACUCCUACGGGAGGCAGCAGUGGGGAAUAUUGGACAAUGGGCGCAAGCCUGAUCCAGCCAUACCGCGUGGGUGAAGAAGGCCUUCGGGUUGUAAAGCCCUUUUGUUGGGAAAGAAAAGCAGCAGGUUAAUACCCCGCUGUUCUGACGGUACCCAAAGAAUAAGCACCGGCUAACUUCGUG
This 492-nucleotide ribosomal RNA is filed under the name uncultured bacterium. Its description in RNAcentral is "partial 16S ribosomal RNA". It matches the Rfam family "Bacterial small subunit ribosomal RNA", at positions 29 to 507 of the family's 1533-position model. The record is from RNAcentral.